RNAcentral lists this long non-coding RNA (388 nucleotides) under Scleropages formosus (Asian bonytongue). Its description in RNAcentral is "lncRNA (ENSSFOG00015031274.1)". The record is from RNAcentral. Lineage: Eukaryota; Metazoa; Chordata; Actinopteri; Osteoglossiformes; Osteoglossidae.
AUGGUGGGAGAUGAUGUGUCAGCCAGCUUCUCCCUUUGUGCAGAACACAUAGGUCUCACCGUGGGUCUGCUGUUUAUCUUCACCCUGGUGUUGAUCACAGUCAUCGUUUUUGCGAAGAGGAUGUCCUCUGCACCGGCACUUAUUGAAGAUGAACAUGACGUGGAUAUUUCAUUCAUCAGUGUUUCCGGUUGUAAACGGGUGGACACAUCACACUUCUUUGCCAACCAACUCUACGUGCCCGCUAUAACCGCAGAAUCCGACACAGAGUCUUCAGAGGCCUGACCUUGGGAAUGUAGGGUGUCUGACUGCACACACACCAACCAGCGGAGUGCAGGGGACUGUGCACAAACCGUCCAAGUCAAUAAAAGUAUGAAGUAAAGUGUUUGCA